CCUACGGGAGGCAGCAGUGGGGAAUAUUGGGCAAUGGGCGCAAGCCUGACCCAGCAACGCCGCGUGAAGGAAGAAGGCUUUCGGGUUGUAAACUUCUUUUGACAGGGAAGAGCAGAAGACGGUACCUGUCGAAUAAGCCACGGCUAACUACGUGCCAGCAGCCGCGGUAAUACGUAGGUGGCAAGCGUUGUCCGGAUUUACUGGGUGUAAAGGGCGUGUAGCCGGGCUGACAAGUCAGAUGUGAAAUCCGGGGGCUCAACCCCCGAACUGCAUUUGAAACUGUUGGUCUUGAGUAUCGGAGAGGCAGGCGGAAUUCCUAGUGUAGCGGUGAAAUGCGUAAAUAUAUGUAAGAACACCAGUGGCGAAGGCGGCUUGCUGGGUCGAUACUGACAUUGAGGCACGAAAGCGUGGGGAGCAAACAGGAUUAGAUACCCCUGUAGUC
RNAcentral lists this ribosomal RNA (442 nucleotides) under uncultured bacterium. RNAcentral describes it as "partial 16S ribosomal RNA". It matches the Rfam family "Bacterial small subunit ribosomal RNA", at positions 338 to 795 of the family's 1533-position model. The record is from RNAcentral.